This is a non-coding RNA of Caerostris darwini, 127 nucleotides long. The record is from the annotation of a GenBank genome assembly. NCBI's taxonomy places the organism in Eukaryota, Metazoa, Arthropoda, Arachnida, Araneae, Araneidae.
AACGGCCGUACCAUGCUGAAUAUACCGGUUCUCGUUAGAUCACCGAAGUUAAGCAUCAUUGACCACCUGGGAACACUGCGUGCGGUCAGUACUUGGGUGGGUGACCACCUGGGAACACUGCGUGCGG